Molecule: long non-coding RNA, 2317 nt
Filed under: Lathyrus oleraceus (garden pea)
Lineage: Eukaryota; Viridiplantae; Streptophyta; Magnoliopsida; Fabales; Fabaceae
Description: Pisum sativum (pea) long non-coding RNA (PSAT_LNC036080)
Source: RNAcentral
CCACACAUCAUUAUUUUGUUAAAAUCAACAAAUUACUUCAUAGCUAACUUGAGCGUUAUCCAACCUGCUGUCCAAGGUAGAACUGCCCUAGGUUGUGAACAACAACUGCAACCCUUCACGAUCAUAGUUAGCCAUAGGCUUUAUAUCGGAUAACGGCCCUGCACCAUGACAAACCCGAAACAACAAAAUGAACCCGCAAAGUAUCCCCAACAGACCGAAUUGAAAACAAUAUAGAUAAAGAAAAUGAACAAAAUUUUGAUGUGAAUUAAAUCCUGACUUUAAUAAUUGCAACAAACAUGAUAUGGUUUGAAUGAUACUUUCCUAUUAACACAAGCUUAGAUCUACAUUUUUCAAAAUCAUCUUUUAAUCAAAUUGAAUUGAACAAAUAUCUAAGAUCUAUAUUACAAAUUAUUCUAUCAAUCCUACAUGUGUUAAACUAAACCUUUUUACAAUUACUUAACACUGCAACCUAAGCUUAUCAAUCGCUAAACUGUAACAAACAGUUAAAAGCUUUUGAAGGUGAGUUUUUUUUUUUUUUUUUUUAAAAGAAAAACUUUACAAACAAGAUAUAUGUAUAUAUGUAUGUAAUAUGUGUCUUAAUUUCUUAAUGGUUUUUAUCUAAGAAACUCAACUUUAAAAUGUUGUUCUUGGUCUUAUAAAACUGUAUAAAGUAUAUAUAAACAAUUCUUUAUGUUUGUGGCAGAUUGUCUCUUGAGAAAACGUCCUUGAAUAUGAAAUACUAGGGGCCUAACUAUGCAUAUUCAGCUCCUUAGCUAUUUGAAGUCACUAUCUAGCCAAAUCUUAGGAAAAAAUAUUAUCAACAAAAACUUCCAAUAAUUUUGCAAGCUAAAAGAAUAACAAUAACCUAUUGAUAGAUGACUAACCAUCCCCUACUAGUAAAACUGAAUCAUUGAAAGUUGUUGCAUCCACAAAAAUAGUAAAAAUAAAACCAACAUGUUCCAGCUUCAUUUAAUGCAAGAAUCACUCCACACAAGUGUUGAAAACUUGAAAGCAUAGAGGAUAACAAAAAUAAAACAACAUAACCAAUGUUCCACAUUUUGCAAUUUUGAAUGCUACAUUUCCACAUAAAUCAUGAAAUUAAGCAAUUUCAUCUAUAUCCCACAUAUAUACCACGUCUCAAAUCAGUAGUAAAAAGGUAUUGAAUACCAUGGUUUUAAUUUGUGGUUGGGGUCGCAGAUACGGUUGCAGUGGCGGGCGUUGAGAUUGUGGUCAUUACGAUUGUUGCAAUACGUAUUACGGUUAUUGUGACGUGAAUUUUGAUCGAGAAGAAUUCUAAAUACAACGUUGAAAAGCACUUAUUAUUAAGAUUUUUAAUUACAAAUGAAGGAAAUUCAUUUUUGUGGUCCUUAAGUUAUGAGUUUUAAUGAAAAUACUUGAAGAGACAAUGACUAGAUUGUCUCAUGGGAUUCCUAAUACAGCGGGAUAUGUGAUUUUAAAAUCAAAAUUAAACGGGUGUAAUUGUCGUUGCAAACCGCAAUUUAAAACCAUACUAGAAUACUAUAGUGCAAAAACAUAUUAAAUCUUAAAAGUGGAAAAACACUAUUUUGCAUUUCCUUGAGAGAUUUGAAGUGAGAGGUUUCAUGCUCUCAUACCGAAGGAGAAUGGGAUUUUGUCCCAAUUGGAUUAGAAUCAAAUUUUAGAGAAAAAAAAUUAGAAUUUUCAACCAUAUUGAGAGUUAAUAUUUUCCAUCUCAAAAUCAAAAUAAGAAAUUAAAGAAACAUUGUAAUCAAAAUUUAUCCAAUCAAAUUAAAAUUCGGUUUAAGUGUUUUCAAUAAAGAUGAGGCUUGUGUUUUCAAAAUAGGACCAAAACAAGGGUUUUGUUAAGCAUUUUCAUGACAUAAUCUUAACAAAAAUAUAGGCUAAAAUUUCAACAAAAAAAGGAUUGGAUUUAUAGAAAAGAGGAAUCAAGGUUUUAACAUAACUUUCGAUUUUCAAUACAGAAACACAAUCCAACAAUUUAAAACACAUGAUACUUACUCUAAGAGAAGGUAAACAUGCGGUUGUCUGAGAAGAGUCCAGCACGGUGGCUUGCUGUGGAGAAGAAGAAAAUGAUAAAAAGUACUCGAAUCAAAAUCUGUUUUCUUUGUCGAAGAGCUUUAGAAUGUCUCUCAACCUCCACUUUCAACUGCAGUUGCUGGAAAAAGGAGGACGAUAGUUGACGGCGAUGUUUCUAAAAAAACAUCAAACCAAUUCAUUAGAGAGGUGGGAUAAUGAGGAGCGUGAAUAUGGUCAUCUUAUUUAAUUUGAGUUGUGGAGAACAAAGAUAUAUGAGGAAGAAGGGGCGACUCUCUUUUUC